This 69-nucleotide transfer RNA is filed under the name Paulinia acuminata. RNAcentral's name for it is "tRNA-Gln". It matches the Rfam family "tRNA". From Rfam's summary of the family: Transfer RNA (tRNA) molecules are approximately 80 nucleotides in length. Lineage: Eukaryota; Metazoa; Arthropoda; Insecta; Orthoptera; Acrididae. The record is from RNAcentral.
UAUAUAAAAGUGUAUGAUGCACGUUAGUUUUUGAUGCUUAAAGUAAUAGUUUAAUUCUAUUUUAUAUAA